This 256-nucleotide ribosomal RNA is filed under the name uncultured bacterium. RNAcentral's name for it is "partial 16S ribosomal RNA". It matches the Rfam family "Bacterial small subunit ribosomal RNA", at positions 524 to 776 of the family's 1533-position model. The record is from RNAcentral.
UACGUAGGGUGCAAGCGUUGUCCGGAAUUAUUGGGCGUAAAGAGCUCGUAGGCGGUCUGUCGCGUCUGCUGUGAAAACUCAGGGCUUAACCCUGAGCUUGCAGUGGGUACGGGCAGACUAGAGUGCGGUAGGGGAGACUGGAAUUCCUGGUGUAGCGGUGAAAUGCGCAGAUAUCAGGAGGAACACCGGUGGCGAAGGCGGGUCUCUGGGCCGUAACUGACGCUGGAGGAGCGGAAAAGCAUGGGGAGCGAACAGG